This 21-nucleotide non-coding RNA is filed under the name Caenorhabditis elegans. Lineage: Eukaryota; Metazoa; Nematoda; Chromadorea; Rhabditida; Rhabditidae. The record is from RNAcentral.
UGAGUUUGCUGGAUAUGGUCC